GAUGAACGCUGGCGGCGUGCUUAACACAUGCAAGUCGAACGAAGCAUUUAGAACAGAUUACUUCGGUUUGAAGUUCUUUAUGACUGAGUGGCGGACGGGUGAGUAACGCGUGGGUAACCUGCCUUGUACUGGGGGAUAGCAGCUGGAAACGGCUGGUAAUACCGCAUAAGCGCACAAUGUUGCAUGACAUGGUGUGAAAAACUCCGGUGGUAUAAGAUGGACCCGCGUCUGAUUAGCUAGUUGGUGAGAUAACAGCCCACCAAGGCGACGAUCAGUAGCCGACCUGAGAGGGUGACCGGCCACAUUGGGACUGAGACACGGCCCAGACUCCUACGGGAGGCAGCAGUGGGGAAUAUUGCACAAUGGAGGAAACUCUGAUGCAGCGACGCCGCGUGAGUGAAGAAGUAAUUCGUUAUGUAAAGCUCUAUCAGCAGGGAAGAUAGUGACGGUACCUGACUAAGAAGCUCCGGCUAAAUACGUGCCAGCCGCCGCCGUAA
This 497-nucleotide ribosomal RNA is filed under the name uncultured bacterium. RNAcentral describes it as "partial 16S ribosomal RNA". It matches the Rfam family "Bacterial small subunit ribosomal RNA", at positions 28 to 523 of the family's 1533-position model. The record is from RNAcentral.